AACGCACCUUGCGCCCCUUGGUAUUCCGAGGGGCAUGCCUGUUUGAGUGUCGCGUUAAUCUAUCACCCCCGUUCUGUCAUGGAGCGUCGGGUGGAUUUGGACCGUGCUGCGCUAGCGGCUCGUCUUGAAAUGCAUCGGCCGGUUGUUUAUGAGGGCCUCUCGUGGUGUGAUAAUUGUCAUCGCCGCCUGGGUUCUUUUGCCGGCCUCGUCGCCCUCGGGCAACUUCUUGCGCUUUGACCUCAAAUCAGGUAGGACUACCCGCUGAACUUAA
This 271-nucleotide unclassified non-coding RNA is filed under the name uncultured fungus. RNAcentral's name for it is "partial contains 5.8S ribosomal RNA, internal transcribed spacer 2, and large subunit ribosomal RNA". The stretch from base 1 to 52 matches the Rfam family "5.8S ribosomal RNA", at positions 103 to 154 of the family's 154-position model. The record is from RNAcentral. Lineage: Eukaryota; Fungi.